UACGAGGGGGGCGAGCGUUGUUCGGAAUUAUUGGGCGUAAAGGGUGCGUAGGCGGUUCCGCAAGUCCUGUGUGAAAUCUUCGGGCUCAACUCGAAGUCUGCAUCGGAAACUGCCGGGCUUGAGUGUGGGAGAGGUGAGUGGAAUUCCUGGUGUAGCGGUGAAAUGCGUAGAUAUCAGGAGGAACACCUGUGGCGAAAGCGGCUCACUGGACCAUAACUGACGCUGAUGCACGAAAGCUAGGGGAGCAAACAGG
This 253-nucleotide ribosomal RNA is filed under the name uncultured bacterium. Its description in RNAcentral is "partial 16S ribosomal RNA". It matches the Rfam family "Bacterial small subunit ribosomal RNA", at positions 524 to 776 of the family's 1533-position model. The record is from RNAcentral.